Centrocercus urophasianus (Greater sage-grouse) is the source of this 2779-nucleotide long non-coding RNA. RefSeq lists it as uncharacterized. The record is from RefSeq and is a predicted model, not a curated record. The transcript has 5 exons. NCBI's taxonomy places the organism in Eukaryota, Metazoa, Chordata, Aves, Galliformes, Phasianidae.
GGCUGAGGUACUCAGUGUUCUUUUCACCUUGUUUAUCACUCACUGAUAAGCUUUGUCCUCUGGCAACCACCUCUGAGGUGUUUGAACUUCCUGGCAGUCUGAGGGAGUGAAACUGUACAGCAGAAGCUGAUGGAAUUAGUGGGAGCUUCAGCUGAUUAGCUAUACAUGAGUCCCUAUGACCAGAUGGGAGGAAUCCAAGGAUGCCAGAGGACCUGGCCGAUGUCACUGAUCACAGUGGAAUGACAAAAAAAAAAAAAAAAGGCAAAUGUCACAGCCAUCCUCAGGAAGGGUGAGAACGAGGACUGGGAAGCUAGAGACUGGUCAACACCACAUUGGUCCAUGGAAAGGUGAUAGAACAAAUCCUCUUACAAGCCAUAUCCAAGCGCAUGAAGGACAAGAAGUUGAUUGGCAACAUGAAUUUACUGAGGACAAAGUCUACCCUUCCACCUUGAAUGCAUCCUGUGACGUUGUGACUGUCUCUGUCGAUGAAGAGUGAGAAGUGGACAUCAUGUUCCUAACUUAAAUAUGUGUGGAGCCAUACCCAUGUAUUUUGGAGACGUAACCACGUUGAGACCUAUGUUUUCCCCCUUCUGUGAUUCUGAAGAGCUUCUACAGUGAUUCACUGUCAAAAUGGUGGCAAAUUUUGUACAAAAGACUUCUUCAGCUACAGGAGGCCAAAAGCUGAGCAGCAGAUAUCCAUGACACAACUUCAUGAAAAAGAUAAACACAGUGUAGAAGUAUAAAGAAGAUUAUCUUCAAUUAGAGGAAGGAAUCCCUCCUCCCUGCUCUUGUGUUAGCAAAGCUGGAGUAUCCUCAGUGUAUCAGGAACUGAUCUGGCUCAUUUAAAGAAAGGCCAGGGGAGUACAGUGAGAAGAAUCACCAGUGUAACCUCCCUCCUAUGACUUUCAGGUAAACAGCACACAGUUUAGCAUUGUUUAGCCUAAAGCUGAUGAAGUUGAUGUGGAAUGUAAAAGCCACAGAUGCACAGAAGCUGGAAGGCAUGCUUUCCACACCAGUCAAUUGACAGAAGAAGUUGUAGGACCGAGACUUAAGGAAAUAAUGUCGGAGUAGAACAGGAAGAGCCUAGUCUGGUUUUACACACACCAAUUAUUGGUAGUAAUCCAUCUCACCAGACCCACGUCUAAAUGAAAUGAUCUAAGUACAGCUGAUGUUGAUUUGGGACAAGAUUUUAGUUUCUCAAAUGCAAAAGCAAUUUCACAGACUGAAUGUCACUGAACAUGUUCAAGGUAACUUCCCCAGCAGUUCCAUCAACCACUUCUGAGUUAUAUUUAUAUAUGCCAAUUUUCAGCAUCACUUUGAGAUUUUACACCUGAAACGGGUUCAUUUUUAUUUGUCUGAUGCACAUUUCCAGCCAGCAGCCUGGAGGCUGAAGAGGAUUCAAUCCACAAUUGUUCUUCAGAAAGCACACAAACUGAAUAAAUGUUUAUAACCCCAAAUGGUGUCACGGCAGCAGAUGAAUGGCAGCAGAACAAUGGGCAUCGCUGCACUCUUCAGGCUGCAGCCAAGUUCCCUAGCAACUACAUAGGAGCUGUGCAGCCUGCAGAGGUACUGUGAGUGCCAGCAGGCCGUUAUCUGAGAAAUGACUGAGAAAUGAUCUUAGUGCCGUAUUUCAUUGAGGAGAUACCAUUAAUCAAUUGCCUGCUUGUAAUUCACAGAUACCACUUUCUCCCUUUGGGUAAACUAUUAGUGAAGUCUUUCCUGCCCAACACUUCAAUAUGUUGUAGGGGAUUGUGAAUUGUUCUUUACACACAUCUGGAAGUAGAUGGCAACAUGUAACUUUACUUCUACCUGGACAAACGCUGCUUUCAGUCUGAUUUGACUAGGAGACUUUCCGUUGACCCGCUGUCUGUCUUCUCCAAGUGUCCUCAGUCAGUAAUUCGACCUGAGAAGUUGCAGUUUCCCAUAGGAGCCAUGCAGACCUUGAGGUGUGGGAAACAAAGCCUGAGCACCCUGCUGCGGUUUGGAAGGCUGCGUGCUUCCUCCUCCUCCUCCACAUGUCGGUGAAACAGCCCUGAAAGUCGGUCCUGGCCUCGAGAGCAUACCUGUGUCAAAAGCAAAGCCCUCGUCACUGUUUCCAUGCUUUGAGACAUCUUUAAAUGCAUGACACUCAAUGUCCUCUGCAUACAUUUGGACAUACUGUUAAACGCACUGUCUACUCGUAAGUGCAUGGAUCACUGUGUACAUCUUAGAAGCCAGAAGAAGGAUUCGCUUUGAAGUAUUUCAUGUUUGGAACAUAAGUAGCUCUGUUCUACCCAAGGAAUUGAAAUAAUCAAGGAACCUCUGAAUUUAUGAAGAUUAAUUUGAAAAUCCCCACCACGUGUGUCUACAGCCAAAAUUUUCACGAAUGUGUAAACCUGUGGAAUCCAUGAAGCUUAUCUGGAAACCAGGAGGCUUUCUUCUAAGUCUUUUGGGACAUUUUUUUUCUUGCAAGGUGUGUUGGAAAACCCCAAGCACUGCUUUUCUGCUCCUAUCUUAGAUCUUCCCCUUUACUUUGCUGGAGUUGGGUAUCUGUCAUCUGUCAUGAGUAGCUGAGCUCAGAGUUCACUUUUGUCAUGCUGCUCAGUUCAGCCUUUUCAUUGUUUUUUGGCUUGUGUUGACAACAGAGGUUCAACAUUUCUGAAGAAAGCAAAAGAUGUUUGUAAACUUCGGAAACAGAUGGAAAAUUAGCAUAUUGUUAAGAACUAUGGCUUAGAGUGUACAAAAAUCGUAUUUGGCAUUACAAUAUCAAACAAAAAUAAACAUCCCAUUGAUGGCUUUC